RNAcentral lists this ribosomal RNA (301 nucleotides) under uncultured bacterium. Its description in RNAcentral is "partial 16S ribosomal RNA". It matches the Rfam family "Bacterial small subunit ribosomal RNA", at positions 509 to 808 of the family's 1533-position model. The record is from RNAcentral.
CAGUCGCGCGGUAACACGAAGGGGGCUAGCGUUGCUCGGAAUGACUGGGCGUAAAGGGCGCGUAGGCGGCUGACACAGUCAGAUGUGAAAUUCCUGGGCUCAACCUGGGGACUGCGUUUGAGACGUGUUGGCUUGAGUGGAGAAGAGGGUCGUGGAAUUUCCAGUGUAGAGGUGAAAUUCGUAGAUAUUGGAAAGAACACCGGUGGCGAAGGCGGCGACCUGGUCUUUAACUGACGCUGAGGCGCGAAAGCGUGCGGAGCAAACAGGAUUAGAUACCCGAGUAGUCCCUGUCUCUUAUACA